Molecule: ribosomal RNA, 492 nt
Filed under: uncultured bacterium
Lineage: Bacteria
Description: partial 16S ribosomal RNA
Rfam family: Bacterial small subunit ribosomal RNA
Source: RNAcentral
AUUGAACGCUGGCAGCAUGCUUUACACAUGCAAGUCGAACGGUAACAGGCCUUCGGGUGCUGACGAGUGGCGAACGGGUGAGUAAUGCAUCGGAACGUACCCAGAGGUGGGGGAUAACGCAGCGAAAGCUGUGCUAAUACCGCAUGUGAUCUGAGGAUGAAAGCGGGGGACCGAGCAGCAAUGUUUGGCCUCGCGCCUUUGGAGCGGCCGAUGUCGGAUUAGCUAGUUGGUGGGGUAAAGGCCUACCAAGGCGACGAUCCGUAGCUGGUCUGAGAGGACGACCAGCCACACUGGGACUGAGACACGGCCCAGACUCCUACAGGAGGCAGCAGUGGGGAAUUUUGGACAAUGGGCGCAAGCCUGAUCCAGCAAUGCCGCGUGCGGGAAGAAGGCCUUCGGGUUGUAAACCGCUUUUGGCAGGAACGAAACGGUGUCCGCUAAUACCGGGCGCUAAUGACGGUACCUGCAGAAUAAGCACCGGCUAACUACGUG